Molecule: microRNA precursor, 69 nt
Filed under: Strongylocentrotus purpuratus (purple sea urchin)
Lineage: Eukaryota; Metazoa; Echinodermata; Echinoidea; Camarodonta; Strongylocentrotidae
Description: Spu-Mir-92-o13_pre stem-loop
Source: RNAcentral
AGAUAGAGAUGUUUGCAGCUGCCGUGCAGUUAGCUUGUACAAUUCGGCAUUGCACUCAUCUCGGUCUGA